UCAUAGCGACGUUGCUUU
RNAcentral lists this small nuclear RNA (18 nucleotides) under Arabidopsis thaliana (thale cress). RNAcentral describes it as "snRNA_03354". Lineage: Eukaryota; Viridiplantae; Streptophyta; Magnoliopsida; Brassicales; Brassicaceae. The record is from RNAcentral.